UACGUAGGGGGCAAGCGUUGUCCGGAAUUAUUGGGCGUAAAGAGCGUGUAGGCGGUCCGGUAAGUCCGCUGUGAAAGUCGGGGGCUCAACCCUCGAAUGCCGGUGGAUACUGUCGGGCUAGAGUGCGGAAGAGGCGAGUGGAAUUCCUGGUGUAGCGGUGAAAUGCGCAGAUAUCAGGAGGAACACCAAUUGCGAAGGCAGCUCGCUGGGACGUAACUGACGCUGAGACGCGAAAGCGUGGGGAGCAAACAGG
RNAcentral lists this ribosomal RNA (253 nucleotides) under uncultured bacterium. Its description in RNAcentral is "partial 16S ribosomal RNA". It matches the Rfam family "Bacterial small subunit ribosomal RNA", at positions 524 to 776 of the family's 1533-position model. The record is from RNAcentral.